ACGCCGGAAGUGGCGGCAGGAGCGGGAGCGCUGAGGUGUCGGCCGGCAGGGCAGUGGCCCGGGGCGGGGGGCGCUGGUCAUGUUUCCCUUCGGGCCGGGUAGCCCCGGAGGGGACGAGGCGGCCGGGGCCAGGGCUGAGGAGCCGGCACCGCACGGGAGGCAGGGGGCAGCCGCCGGCCCGCUCCCUUCCCCUCCCGCGCCCCCUCAGCCGGGGGCUGACGCCGCCCCUCCCCCAUCGCCCUGCGGGAGCCCUCCCCGCCCGUGCGCCCCCUCGCUGCUCCCAGCCGGGCGCGCUGGGGAGCUCCGGCAGCCCGGAGCUCUAGAGUCCUCAGCCGCUUCCGCCCCGGGAGAGCCGUCACCGCCCUCCCCGCCCCGCCGGCGACCCGGGCCAGACUGCCGGGCUGGACGCCGGUACAGCCUCGGCGCCGUCCUGGGGGUUCCUGGCGCCCGGCUGUUCGGGUGGCUGAGAGAGCGCAGCCUGGGCCGCGGGCUGUUCGUGGACCCGGCGCGGGACAAUUUCCGCACCAUGACUAACCUCUAUGGUUCCAUCCAUCCCGCGGACUCGGUAUACCUCAGCACCCGCACCCACGGGGCGGUCUUCAAUCUCGAGUACUCUCCCGACGGGUCAGUGCUGACAGUUGCUUGUGAACAGACUGAAGUUCUGCUUUUUGAUCCUAUAUCUUCAAAGCACAUAAAAACACUUUCCGAAGCUCAUGAAGACUGUGUAAAUAACAUAAGGUAAUACAUGCACGUGGUACAAAAUUCAAAGGUACAAAAGGGUAAACAGUGAAAAAUUUCUUGAUAACCGGCUGUUUGCUACCUGCUCUGAUGACACUACAAUAGCAUUAUGGGAUCUGAGAAAACUGAACACCAAAGUAUGCACUUUACAUGGUCACACUAGCUGGGUGAAGAACAUCGAAUAUGAUACUAAUACAAGACUCUUAGUAACGUCAGGAUUUGAUGGAAAUGUCAUUAUUUGGGACACCAACAGGUGUACAGAAGAUGGGUGUCCACAUAAGAAAUUCUUUCACACACGUUUUCUUAUGCGAAUGAGACUAACACCAGAUUGUUCCAAAAUGUUGAUCUCAACGUCCUCUGGAUAUCUCUUGAUUUUGCAUGAUCUUGACUUAACCAAGUCUUUAGAGGUAGGCAGUUACCCCAUUUUGAGAGCAAGAAGAACUACAUCAAGUUCAGAUCUUACCACUUCAUCGAGUUCAUCUGGUCCUAGAGUUUCGGGUUCACCUUGUCAUCAUAGUGAUUCUAAUUCCUCUUCUGAGAAACACAUGUCACGAGCCUCACAGAGAGAAGGAGUUUCACCAAGAAAUAGUCUUGAAGUGUUAACCCCUGAAGUUCCUGGUGAGAGAGACCGUGGAAAUUGUAUCACAUCCUUACAGUUGCACCCAAAAGGCUGGGCCACUCUUCUUCGGUGCUCAAGCAACACGGAUGAUCAGGAGUGGACUUGUGUCUAUGAAUUCCAAGAAGGAGCUCCUGUGCGACCCGUCUCACCUCGUUGUUCUCUACGACUGACUCAUUACAUUGAGGAAGCCAAUGUAGGCAGGGGUUAUAUCAAAGAACUUUGCUUCAGCCCUGACGGGCGAAUGAUUUCUUCCCCACACGGCUACGGGAUUCGCUUGUUAGGAUUUGACAAGCAGUGCAGUGAACUGAUUGACUGUUUGCCCAAAGAAGCCAGUCCCCUGCGGGUGAUCCGUUCUUUGUACUCUCAUAAUGAUGUGGUACUGACGACAAAGUUCUCUCCAACACAUUGCCAGAUCGCCUCCGGGUGCCUUAGUGGACGGGUUUCUCUGUAUCAGCCAAAGUUUUAGGCACAACUUACAUCAACUAAGGAACUUUUCUGGUGUUUGACUUAUGUAUUACUUCAAUUUAGGUGAAGUAUUUUCUUUUUAGAAGAUCUUAAAAGUUUUGGUCAAGAUCCUGGUUCUUACGGGUCCACAAACACACCUGUGACCUGAGUACUUGGUUGUCCAGCAUCAUGCGGGCAUCGCCAAAUUAGACUCGAGGCAGCACCAUCUUUUGCAGCAUUCCUCUGCUCCUGCUGAUCUGUGCCACUGAACUCCAGUUCUCCUGGUUAUUUUGCAUGGUAGCUCUUGUCAAUUUUCUUUCAAUUCUGUUUUGUUUUUUGAUUUUGGUGUGAAUUUUGUGGACAUUUGGCAGGAGUUUUGGCUGGAUUAGGAGAAACUCAUAACACUAGUAUUGAAUAAAACCCAGAAGUUUGAUAUUGGCAUACUAGUUGUUGAAAAGAAAUUUCACCUUCACUUACCAGUAUACUUGGCCUGUUAAAGUUGCUAUUACAUUUCUCUGAAAUGAGCACAGAUAAUGGCAUUAUUCUUAUAACUCUUACAGUCUUGCAGCAAAAUGUCUUUUAAGCUUCCUGUUAAAAUUAUAUGUAUUUUUUCACCAUGAGAGAGAUUUUGUUGUGAGAUUCUAAGGAAAAAAAAAAAUUAUCAACUCCCUUUGUAAUUUACUUGUAUGAAUUUUUAAAUUUCUAGCAUGUGUCUAGCAGGUAUUUUGUUCCUGUCAACAGCAUUAGAAAGGAAAAGAGGAGAAGGAAUGGGCUUUGGUCAUUUUUAUUGUAGAGAAGAGGAUUUAUUUAUGAGAUGAGUACACUAUAUGACUACAGAGUGUUGAGAACGCUGUGGCUUAGAUUUUCUCUUUCCUCCGCCAGAUCAUUUGAAUCACACAAAUGAUGGCUGGGGGAGAAUUGUGAGUAAAGAGGUUGUGUUUUCCUUAUCUUUCUUUCUUGAGCUCUGCUCUUACCACUAAUGAGGGGAAAACGGCAGUUGUCUUCAAGCUGUUGUCAUAACUAUGGCGGUCAGUGACUUGGGUGUCAAGACUAAGACCAUCUGUUGUGUUUGGUUAUGGAACACAGCAAGUCAAAAGCACCAGGCAGGGGUCAAGCACAAAGCUGACUGCGCUGCUGAAGUAAGCAGCUUUUUUCUAGUCUCUUCCACUUUGAAUGGUAUUGUCCUCAGAAGAGAUUUACCAGCAGCUGGAGUAGUUCAAGCCACAUGCUAGCUUUUUCCCUCUUAGAUCACAUUCUCUUAGGCCAGUGGUUCUCAAACAUUAGGGUGCAUUAUAAUCAUUGAGGAGCUUGUGAAAAAUACAGAAACCUAACCCUCACCUUAGGAGGUUCUUACUCAGCCAGAGAGGACAGGAAUCUGUAUUUUUACAGGAACCCCAAGAAAUCUUUAUUCAGGUGGUUCCUGGAUCACAGCUUGAAACAUCCUACCUUAAACAUCAGUAAAUACUUCUUUACCCAUUAGGUGCUUAUUAAUGUAACUCCCAGAAGGUAUUUUGAUUAUUUAAAAAAUGAGCAAAUGAAAGCAAUUUUAGAGGUAGAAAUUAACUUAAAAUGGACUAAACUUCAUUAUUUGAUGAAUUAGAAGUUAAAUGACUUUACCUAAGGUCAUCCUGCAAAAUUAGUGGCAGAGCCAGGACUUGAAUUCAAGUCUCUUAAUUACUUGCUCAGGGCAAUUUCUACUGUAUUGUGCAGGGUGUUAAAACAAUGAUUUAUGAAGUUUAUUUUGUCUUUAGGUUGUAUUAUUGUGAAUACCCUUAUACUAGCCAAUAGAUUGAAAAAGGAAGGCAUGGGUGUAUCAAUGCUGAGAAUUCCAGCCAUAAGAACAUAGUUUAAAUCUUAUAAAAAUAUUUAAGCAACCCAAAUACAUGAGUAAAAAUGACAUUUUUUGUAGGACUUAGCAGACAGCCAUUCGCACAUGUAUAUACAUCUCACUUUGAUAAUGCUGGCUCUAGGACGGAUUUAAAAAAUUAGAUCAUCUUACCAUGGAUGUUAAAGAAAAACUGGAAAUUUUUUAGUCAUCAAAAAAAUUACCACAGUGAAAACACACAGGUUUGCUGUGAACGUCUAAGAAAAAAAACACCUAUUAUAAAGAAAAUAAAGUUUUUGAGACAAAAACAAUGUUGACAUUGAAAAUAAGCUAUUAAGACCAGUGGUAGUAUUGAUAAUCAAAAGAAGGUUCCAUACAUACAUCUCCUUUGGAGAGAUCCAUGUCAGAUGCUGGACCCAAAGGUUGCCUAACUCUAAAUUUCACUCCAUGAUUCUUUAACCACUAUAGAUAGAAUGCCUAUCAUGUGUCAAAUAAUUUACUACUUAAUCCUCACAAAAACUACAAGGUAAGUGGCAUGGGCACCAGUUUACUUUAGAGGAAAUGGAGGAUCAAAAAGGUUAAGUGAUUUAAGCCACAGAGCUGGCAUGGGGUGGCAGCAUUGGGCUUCAGAACCAGGUCUGUUUGAGUGCCAAGCCUAUGCUUGCUACUCCACCAUUUUGCCCUUUAGUUUGUAAAGACUGGCAAACUGGCCUGUUAAUUUACCUGUUUAACAUCCUCUGGAGGUGCUUUAUGACAGAGCUGGCUUAUCUUCCUCACUGUAUAAAGGAACAUUUACAAGAUUGACAAUUUCUCUUAGAAUUAAUGCCAUAAACUGCAGGGCAUACAGACAGUCCACUCCUAACUAAAAAUCCUCAAGCAGGAUAAAUAGCCUCAUAUAAAAACAGCAAAUUCACAUCCAGCAAACUCAACAAAACCUUUGUCCUCUUUGAGUUUUGGUCUUGAGCAAAAAGUCCGGGGAUAUCGAUCAAGGAAUUCAAGGGCAUCAGGAAUGUUAUAUACUAUUGGAGGAAAUGACAUUUAAAAUUUCAAAAUCCCAUUUCACUUAAAGUACAAAAUCUAAUCUGGUGUGUUUAAAUUUUAUUUAGUCAUUUUUAUUCAUGAUAGUUGAUAAAUGUAUUAUAAUUGAUAAUUGUUGGUAAGUAUAGUACAAAGUAUACUUCUAUCUUAAAAAUCUUUCUGCACAACAGUAUAGUUACGGCAAAGCUACGUUGAAUGAGUUUAGGAACAUCAAAUAUACAAUAGUGCCCUAUUUUCAAUUGUGAAAAUGAAGUGGCUGAUGCAGAAGAGACCUCUAUUUUAAUCUUUUGCAAUUGGGUGUUGUCUUCUUUUCUCAAGACUAAAGAACAUGUAUGUUUUGUUAUUUCUCCUUGUUACAUCCCUGAGAAGAGGCUCUACCAAAAAUCUUAGAGAACAGACACAGAAAGGUCGAUAUCACAUGUUCCCCACUCGUAGGUCUAGACCCAGGAUCAUAUUCUGUCACUGUUAAGGCUUUUUCCUUAGAAAGUGCAAUAUAGGAAAACACUUUGAGAAUCUUUUUGAAGCCUGGUGUUCCCCAUUAUUAUUAGAAUCUAUGGUAUUGCCAUCCAUAAGUAUCUGUUAAGCUUGUGUUUAGUAAGAGACAUAGUGUGAUAACUUACUGAGGACAAUCAUCCACAUAAUGUACCAGCUGACCCUGAGCGCUAUGAAAAUUCACUCAGUAACACUCUGUGUUGGUCAUGAGAGAAAACAUAUAUAUUAAUUUUGGGAUAAUUAAUGCAUAUCUCAAGUGCCAAAAUAUAAAACUUGUAAUUAUUUUUGAUGCAAAUCUUUCAGAUAUGUUAGUAUACCUACCUGCCUUCUUAAACAGCAUGCUCAGUACAAUUUGUUUCUUCGUGUUGAAAAGUAAAAGUUAUAUCCAUUGUGUUGUUACCAAUAUCCAGUGAGCUCUGAUGUAUGUAAAAUACUUCACAAAAUGUAAAGGGCUAUAACAAAUAUGAGUUAAGAUCAAUUAUUAUAAAGUGAUUCCCUCAGCCCUGAGGUGUAUAUAUAUUUGCCUCAGAUUCUUGGUGUGGUUUUUUUCUUUCUAAUUUAAAAAAAUUUGUAUCUGCUAAGCAGUUUGUUUUGCUUGAGUGGUCUCCUACCACACUAUCAAUAUGCCUGUCUCUGACAGGCUCCCUACUUCCUUCUAAUGUGCCGUUUUCAUCUGUUAGGAGCUGGGACAUGAGAUAGCAAGUCUGCUUAGUGUCUCAGGAGGUGGCUGAGCUCUGGGAGCCAUCUGUGAGACAGCUCUCUUCAUUGCUCACCACUUUCCUGACAGGUUCACAAUAAUUCUAUAGAUAAUAGAAGUUCUCAGUUAAAGCCCAAGCUAGUGAUUGUCUCAGUUGCCACUAAGUAAAAUACUACAAGCUAAGGAUGCUGCUAGAUUAAGGAAGAGCAAUGCACCAAAGUACAGGGAAGCAAAAACAGACUGUAUUUGCACAAGGGUCUUUCGUGCUUUUAAGAAAAAAGAAGAGUGCAGAGGGAAAAGGACAGUGAAAAUCCAGAUAGACUUAAGGGUAUCUAUCUUUGAUGCCAUUAAACUUUGUCAAUAACCAUAAAAAUAUACACUUAAAUUAUCACACAUGAUACAAAGACACAGUUUAGUCUCAGUACAGAAUAAGAUAUUACUGAAAUUUAUAAACAUUCUUAAGAAUUUCUCCCAUUCAAAUUAUAAUGGAAAUUAUUAUCAAAAGGAAAGUCUCAAAUUUAUCUGUAUGCUGCUUUCUUUAGCUAUAAUGAAUUAGUGAUAGAAAAAUGGGUUUUAGCAAAAGCUCCAGGGAAUAAAUCUCAAAUGCAUACACCUCCUCUAUCAUAUAUGUCACUAUAAAUGAAAAUGCCAGAGAUAAUUUUUAAAAUUUAAAUCUGGUCCAAAGUAUUUAAAAUAGACUUUUCAGCUUUCCUAAGUUUUUUCAUUUAGAAUUCAUGGUUUUUACAUUACUGGUUGAAUAUGUGAAUUUUCUUGUAAAAUGCACUGCAUCUUCCAUUUCCAAACCCUGCUUUCUGAUCAACUUUAGAUUCACAUUUUCAGGAAAUUUGGAGUGUUUCAGAAAAAAAUACUAGACACCACAAAGUUUUCUCACCAGAUUCUGAGGUGCUGUAUAUUCUUAUUAUGCUAGACUGUAAGCCCCUUGAGGGCAGGAACUGUCUUAUUUAUUCUAUUCUAUUCCCAGUGCCCAGCAGGAUCAAUAAAUUUUUCUUGAAUGAAUCAAAUAUA
Molecule: non-coding RNA, 6879 nt
Organism: Sus scrofa (pig)
Lineage: Eukaryota; Metazoa; Chordata; Mammalia; Artiodactyla; Suidae
Source: RefSeq, a predicted model, not a curated record